Molecule: long non-coding RNA, 1459 nt
Filed under: Homo sapiens (human)
Lineage: Eukaryota; Metazoa; Chordata; Mammalia; Primates; Hominidae
Description: PREDICTED lncRNA (TCONS_00231543)
Source: RNAcentral
AGACAGAGAAAAAGAGAAAACAACAACAAAAAUGAAGCAAGAGUAAACUGCCAACUCCAACUGCCUUUCUGGAAGGCCUAAUUUGAAGAUGUCUGAAAUUCUGUAUCACUGGCUCCCAGACAUAUCAUGUUUAUUUGUACAUCACACCUUUGCCCACCUCUGCUCAGUGGACCUCCAGCCUAAAAUGCCUCCCUUGUUCCUCUGUCUCACUUCAGCUGUUAUUGAAGUCUCCUGGUACAAUGUGACAUUUCCAGCGUCUUGUUUUCCAAUCAGAUCAGUGGCUCUCAGUGGACCAACUGAUAAGGAACAUUUGGAAAAUGUUACGAUGAUUGAGGGCUGUACUGGUAUUUGGUGGGCAGGGAAUGACAAUGUCCUGUGAUGUAUCCAUCAUAAUGGAAAAUUAUCUGAUGUCUUGGGCAAAUAACAGCAGUCCUGCCAGACAAAAUGAAGGUGAAAAAUUCAUUUAUAAUUGCCUAAGUUCAGAGCUUCUCUCUGUUUUACAUACAAGUACAAGAAAUGUUUGGCACAGUUUUAAUGUAUACUGAAUUAUAGGAAUCCAAUUACAAUAUAUUUUGCUUAACAUAGACAUCUGCUAAGAAUUAUUCAUCAUUUUGUAGAUCACAGCACUACGUAACUGCUUCAGAGAUAUAAUAAAACUCAUCAGUCUUCCUUAGCAUCUGUAGGUCAGUCAUCUCACAUCUCACAGCUUCUUCUGCCUUCUGGUAUAUUUGUGUAUGAAUGUUUAUAUACUACAACAAAUAGCAUUUUUAUAAAUUCCUUUUAUUUACUUUAUAAUCAGGACAUAACAUUACUUUUAAAAGUUAUAUGUAGGUUAAAUUACAUUAUUAAUAAAUUUCAUUGUUUUAGUGUAGCAAGACAAUGUUACAAAAUAUUUCUUUAAAACCAAGAAGGGGCAUUGAGCCUGGGAGUUGAGAACUAUAGAACCAUAUUGUAUGCAUUCAUGGGAGAAAACGACUGGAAAGGGGACAAGGUGAAGUGGAAAACUAGAAUGUAUUAAGAAUUUCCUUUAAUCCAUCUUGAAUUGAUUUUUGUAUAAGGUGUAAGGAAGGGAUCCAGUUUCAGCUUUCUACAUAUGGCUAGCCAGUUUUCCCAGCACCAUUUAUUAAAUAGGGAAUCCUUUCCCCAUUGCUUGUUUUUCUCAGGUUUGUCAAAGAUCAGAUAGUUGUAGAUAUGCGGCAUUAUUUCUGAGGGCUCUGUUCUGUUCCAUUGAUCUAUAUCUCUGUUUUGGUACCAGUACCAUGCUGUUUUGGUUACUGUAGCCUUGUAGUAUAGUUUGAAGUCAGGUAGUGUGAUGCCUCCAGCUUUGUUCUUUUGGCUUAGGAUUGACUUGGCAAUGCGGGCUCUUUUUUGGUUCCAUAUGAACUUUAAACGUUAGACCUAAAACCAUAAAAACCCUAGAAGAAAACCUAGGCAUUACCAUUCAGGACAUAGGCGUGGG